RNAcentral lists this ribosomal RNA (563 nucleotides) under uncultured Agaricales. RNAcentral describes it as "eukaryotic LSU rRNA". The stretch from base 103 to 256 matches the Rfam family "5.8S ribosomal RNA". Lineage: Eukaryota; Fungi; Basidiomycota; Agaricomycetes; Agaricales. The record is from RNAcentral.
GGGUUAACCACCUAGUUCAGAACUCAAGUUCUAUGUAUAUAUACUCUAUGAAUGUCUUGAAUGUCUUUUACUGGGACUUAACUGGCCCUUUAAACUUUAUACAACUUUCAGCAACGGAUCUCUUGGCUCUCGCAUCGAUGAAGAACGCAGCGAAAUGCGAUAAGUAAUGUGAAUUGCAGAAUUCAGUGAAUCAUCGAAUCUUUGAACGCACCUUGCGCCUCUUGGUAUUCCGAGAGGCAUGCCUGUUUGAGUGUCAUUAAAUUCUCAACUUCAAAAGCUUUGUCUUUUUGAAGCUUGGAUGUGAAGGCUUGCUGGCGUUUUAAAUGUUCAGCUUCUUUGAAAUGCAUUAGUGGACCCGUUUGUGUUCAUCCUUAGUGUGAUAAUUAUCUACGCUAUGGUUUUGAAUGCAUGCUCAUUAGAAUCUUCAAGCUGUUUCACAGUCUUGGCGUGGAGAGUUGCAUUUACUUGCUCUUUCUGUCUUUUGAGUCAGGAUUGUCUGCUUCUAACCGUCUGCCUCUGUAGACAACUUGAACCAUUUGACCUCAAUCAGGUAGGACUACCCG